AGGGUUCGAUUCUGGCUCAGGAUGAACGCUAGCUACAGGACUUAACACAUGCAAGUCGGAGGGGCAGCAUAACGAAAGCUUGCUUUUGUUGAUGGCGACCGGCGCACGGGUGAGUAACGCGUAUCCAACCUUCCCGCGAGUAGGGAACACGCCCGGCGAAAGUCGGAUUAAUGCCCUAUGUUCUCCGAUGACGGCAUCAGAGUUGGAGUAAAGAUUUUAUCGCUUGCGGAUGGGGAUGCGUCUGAUUAGCUUGUUGGCGGGGUAACGGCCCACCAAGGCGACGAUCAGUAGGGGUUCUGAGAGGAAGGUCCCCCACAUUGGAACUGAGACACGGUCCAAACUCCUACGGGAGGCAGCAGUGAGGAAUAUUGGUCAAUGGGCGGAAGCCUGAACCAAGCCAAGUAGCGUGAGGGAUGACUGCCCUAUGGGUUGUAAACCUCUUUUGUUCGGGAAUAAAGUUCGGGACGUGUCCCGUUUUGUAUGUACCGUUCGAAUAAGGACCGGCUAAUUCCGUGCCAGCCGCAGC
This 526-nucleotide ribosomal RNA is filed under the name uncultured bacterium. RNAcentral describes it as "bacterial SSU rRNA". It matches the Rfam family "Bacterial small subunit ribosomal RNA", at positions 8 to 518 of the family's 1533-position model. The record is from RNAcentral.